RNAcentral lists this ribosomal RNA (324 nucleotides) under Clostridioides difficile. Its description in RNAcentral is "bacterial SSU rRNA". It matches the Rfam family "Bacterial small subunit ribosomal RNA", at positions 1 to 323 of the family's 1533-position model. Lineage: Bacteria; Bacillati; Bacillota; Clostridia; Peptostreptococcales; Peptostreptococcaceae. The record is from RNAcentral.
UCAUUGGAGAGUUUGAUCCUGGCUCAGGACGAACGCUGGCGGCGUGCUUAACACAUGCAAGUCGAACGGAAAGGCCCUGCUUUUGUGGGGUGCUCGAGUGGCGAACGGGUGAGUAACACGUGAGUAACCUGCCCUUGACUUUGGGAUAACUUCAGGAAACUGGGGCUAAUACCGGAUAGGAGCUCCUGCUGCAUGGUGGGGGUUGGAAAGUUUCGGCGGUUGGGGAUGGACUCGCGGCUUAUCAGCUUGUUGGUGGGGUAGUGGCUUACCAAGGCUUUGACGGGUAGCCGGCCUGAGAGGGUGACCGGCCACAUUGGGACUGAG